This 71-nucleotide transfer RNA is filed under the name Marmota monax (woodchuck). Its description in RNAcentral is "tRNA.Thr". Lineage: Eukaryota; Metazoa; Chordata; Mammalia; Rodentia; Sciuridae. The record is from RNAcentral.
GAGGCUGUGCCUCAGCGGUAGAGUGCUCACCUGGUGUGUGUGAGGCACUAGGUUCAAUUCUCAGCACCACA